AUGAGAACAUGCCCUUCGGGGUAGAUCUCCCACCCUUUGUUUAUUAUACCUUUGUUGCUUUGGCAGGCCCGUCCUCGGACCGCUGGCUUCGGCUGGCCCGUGCCUGCCAGAGGACCCCAAACUCUGUUUGUUAAUGUCGUCUGAGUACUAUUUAAUAGUUA
Molecule: unclassified non-coding RNA, 161 nt
Filed under: uncultured Helotiales
Lineage: Eukaryota; Fungi; Ascomycota; Leotiomycetes; Helotiales
Description: sequence contains ITS1
Source: RNAcentral